UACAGAGGGUGCGAGCGUUAAUCGGAAUUACUGGGCGUAAAGCGUGCGUAGACGGUAGCGUAAGUCAGACGUGAAAGCCCCGGGCUCAACCUGGGAAUUGCAUUUGAGACUGCUCUGCUCGGGUGCGGAAGAGGGAAGCGGAAUUUCCGGUGUAGCGGUGAAAUGCGUAGAUAUCGGAAGGAACACCAGUGGCGAAAGCGGCUUCCUGGUCCGACACCGACGUUCAGGCACGAAAGCGUGGGGAGCAAACAGG
Molecule: ribosomal RNA, 253 nt
Filed under: uncultured bacterium
Lineage: Bacteria
Description: partial 16S ribosomal RNA
Rfam family: Bacterial small subunit ribosomal RNA
Source: RNAcentral